This 253-nucleotide ribosomal RNA is filed under the name uncultured bacterium. Its description in RNAcentral is "partial 16S ribosomal RNA". It matches the Rfam family "Bacterial small subunit ribosomal RNA", at positions 524 to 776 of the family's 1533-position model. The record is from RNAcentral.
UACGUAGGUGGCAAGCGUUGUCCGGAAUUAUUGGGCGUAAAGCGCGCGCAGGUGGUCCUUUAAGUCUGAUGUGAAAGCCCACGGCUCAACCGUGGAGGGUCAUUGGAAACUGGGGGACUUGAGUACAGAAGAGGAAAGUGGAAUUCCACGUGUAGCGGUGAAAUGCGUAGAGAUGUGGAGGAACACCAGUGGCGAAGGCGACUUUCUGGUCUGUAACUGACACUGAGGCGCGAAAGCGUGGGGAGCGAACAGG